This 250-nucleotide ribosomal RNA is filed under the name uncultured bacterium. RNAcentral describes it as "partial 16S ribosomal RNA". It matches the Rfam family "Bacterial small subunit ribosomal RNA", at positions 524 to 773 of the family's 1533-position model. The record is from RNAcentral.
UACGAAGGGGGCUAGCGUUGCUCGGAAUUACUGGGCGUAAAGCGUGCGCAGGCGGUUUUGUAAGCCAGAUGUGAAAUCCCCGGGCUUAACCUGGGAAUGGCAUUUGGGACUGCAAGGCUGGAGUUUGGCAGAGGAGACUGGAAUUCCUGGUGUAGCAGUGAAAUGCGUAGAUAUCAGGAGGAACACCGAUGGCGAAGGCAGGUCUCUGGGCUGAAACUGACGCUCAUGCACGAAAGCGUGGGGAGCAAAC